This 513-nucleotide ribosomal RNA is filed under the name uncultured bacterium. RNAcentral's name for it is "bacterial SSU rRNA". It matches the Rfam family "Bacterial small subunit ribosomal RNA", at positions 15 to 518 of the family's 1533-position model. The record is from RNAcentral.
GAUAUGGCUCAGGAUGAACGCUAGCUACAGGCUUAACACAUGCAAGUCGAGGGGCAGCAUAUUGGUAGCUUGCUACUAAUGAUGGCGACCGGCGCACGGGUGAGUAACGCGUAUCCAACCUUCCCUAUACUAGAGGAUAGCCCGGCGAAAGUCGGAUUAAUACUCUAUGUUCUUCGUAGAUGACAUCUGAAAUGAAGCAAAGAUUUAUCGGUAUAGGAUGGGGAUGCGUCUGAUUAGGUUGUUGGCGGGGUAACGGCCCACCAAGCCUGCGAUCAGUAGGGGUUCUGAGAGGAAGGUCCCCCACAUUGGAACUGAGACACGGUCCAAACUCCUACGGGAGGCAGCAGUGAGGAAUAUUGGUCAAUGGACGAGAGUCUGAACCAGCCAAGUAGCGUGCAGGAUGACGGCCCUAUGGGUUGUAAACUGCUUUUAUAUAGGGAUAAAGUGAUCUACGUGUAGAUUUUUGUAGGUACUAUAUGAAUAAGGACCGGCUAAUUCCGUGCCAGCCGCCGC